UAGCUUCUUUUACGCUGAUAUUUAGAAAUAUCUAUAAUUUCCCUCUCUAUUGAUGAGGAAUACUGAGAGAGGGGGACUAGAAAGAUGAUGACACAGGAAACAGUUGAUGUAAGGGUCUGAGUUCAAGGUCACAACUUCCUUCUUGUUUAUCUCUGCCAGACAGCCCUAAUGGAGUCUGACCUAACAGAUGUUUGGUUGGAAUACAAGACCAGGUUGAUCUGUUUCGCUCUGGGAACAACACAGCCACAGCCCUUCUUCACCACCUAGAGAGCUGGUACUCAGUCUCCAUCUACUGAUGAACCUGUCUCACUGUUGCUGGCCUGGGCCUCUGGAUACAGAGAUUGAACACAUUCUUCCCAACAAACUUCCAAAGUUGUAAAUCUUCACAGCAGCAUGCACUGUCUCUUCUAUUUCUGCUAUAUUUCCUGUUCUGUACGCAAAAGAUAGGUUGCUCACAGAAUCAUAGGAUCAUAGAUUUUGAGCUGGAUGGGAUCUUAAAAGCCAUCUUAUCCAACCUUUCCAUUUAGCUGAAAAGGAAAGAAAGGCCCUCUCCCCAAAAUCACAUAGGUAAUAAGUAGUGGAGGUGAAAUUUAAAACAGUGAGAGUAAAGGAUAAGUAAGUGU
RNAcentral lists this long non-coding RNA (623 nucleotides) under Monodelphis domestica (gray short-tailed opossum). RNAcentral's name for it is "lncRNA (ENSMODG00000034885.2)". The record is from RNAcentral. Lineage: Eukaryota; Metazoa; Chordata; Mammalia; Didelphimorphia; Didelphidae.